ACAACUACUGUUUAUGUCAAACAGUGAAAAAAAAGAUUUUUUGCUAUGGAAGGGAGGAAAAUUUAUAGGAAGUUUAACCACAAUGCCUCUGGACUUCUGCAGAUUAAAGGUGGGGGAGUUUACCUUCAGGAUCACCAACUUUCUUGGUUGUAAACCAACUCUAAUCCACUUCCUUGAUCCUCCUGCGAUUGAUUAAUGCCAUGCUAAUCCUGUCCUGGCCAGGCACAAUGUGGAAAAGUGAAUGUACUACAUUUUCUACAAGAAAAGUAUUCAGGAAUCUAGAUCUCAAUCCAAGACACUUUAACCUUUGUGGAAGGGUCAGGACGAAACACUCAAUGAGAUUUACUGAGCUGCGAUAUCUACAGAAACAGCAAGGCAUCAACCUGAGCACAGGGUGAUGUUUUCUGAGGAAUUUCUGAGAGGCGCCUAAGAGAGAUGAGAAGCUGUAGGAGAAAAGGGUCACUUGAUUACUGCUGAGACCAAAACUUUGCAAUGGGAUGGCAGGACUUUGUGUGACCAGGGUCAUUUCAAGCUCUGAAGGAGCAUUUCCCAGUGUUGUAGUUCUUUUUUGCCAAAUUCAGCCCGGGUGCAAAUGAGACCUGUUCUGCUAAAGCUAUGCAAUGGGUGAGUUACCUUGCUGAGUAAGAACCACACACCAUUUCGUGAUUAACUGAUUUCUUACUCAAAAGCUUUCAGUACUUAAAGACUUCAGACUUAAAAGCUUUUUUGUCCCAUGUUUGACAUGGCAAUGUUCAGUUAAAGUAUCAUGUCCCUCUAAUUAUUGGUGCUUCAAACACAGUGAUGUUUUGCUUACAUCCAUUACUGAUCAUUCACUACUCCCAUUCAUCAUAAUCCUGGAUUGCUCUAGUUCACUCAACACUAAUUCUAACUGGCUUUCAUCGUUCCCAUGGAAAACAUACACCAACAAUUAAAUCUCUCAGCAAAGGACUCAACUCAUUUGGAGGUUUAUAAAAGCACUGAGGAAAAAAACCCCACCAUGUAUAUAUUUAUGAGAGCCACAGCAAUAAGUAUGUAAAUCUCUGAUAACAAUGCAGAUAAUUCCAUCAGUGGUGAAAAGUUAAUUUGAUGGGAUCUGGCAUUUAUAUUUCUGAUGCCAGACAGUGCAAUGCAUUUUAGAGUGGUGGGUCUAAAGAUUCUUGAGAGCUUCCUGGAAAACUUGAAAAGAAGAAUGAGAAGUGGGAAUGUGGGGAGACAAGGAAAAGGCACAUGCAGUUAUAUACAGAAGUAGAAAGUCACAUCUAGAUUACACAUAGAAAGUGUAAUCUAGAAAACAUUCCUUUACUAUAGUGAUAUAUUAUGAGUUAGUUAAAUGUUAUCUUUAGAAAGAGUAAAGUGCAUGCCAUUACUUUGAGGAAAGGAGAGUAGAUGCCCAAGGCAGAGAAAAUUUUGGCUCCCUCAUUUCUUACCCUUGCAGAGUUUGUGCAUACUGAACUCUGGCCAACACUCUCUACUGUCGAUCCAGCUCCAGCCACCUCCAACGACUUAUUUGAAGUCCUGCAGAAAAUCUGGGUGAGGGCUGAGGAAUAAAGCAAGCUCUCUGUCUUCUUGCCCCAUGCUGUAACCAUGAGACCACCCUCCCACAUAAAAGCCUGAAGAUAUCACAGUAUCAGGAGAAAGACAUUUCUAUAACUUUCCAUAUAUUUUAGCCUAAAUACCUUGGCAAUACUAGACCAUAAGCAGUGAGCGUAAUGGUUUGAGGGCUGAUGGCUCUGUCAAAGAAAUACUUACAUCGGGUUGAUACUAGCUUAAUAUGGUCUUUACUACUCCCAUUGUGAUGAUUUAUAUGUCCUUCCAAAUCCUGAAAGAAAGAAAUGAGGCUUAGCAUUACCUUUCUAAAGACUAUAAUUGUGUUUCUAUAAAGAAAGCAUAACUGGUGGAUAGCUUUCUAUGUGUAGAUAACCUUAGUAAUGAAGAAUUGUAAGUGGUACUCAUUCUGUGUAUGUGUAUACAAUAUGGAGUAAAAGGAACAAGAGAAAAGAGAAGGUGAGAGACUGCAGGAACAGAUCAGUUUGGUUGCAAAACUUGAAAAUCCCACUCUGCAAUAAGGGACCAUGCAGAAUAAAAUAUCAAAAUAGGAUUUGAUGAAGCUACUUCCUAGGUUACAUUCUAUAAGCUGUUGAACAAAAACAAUUCCCCAUGAUGUAGAAUGUUUGUAACUUGGAAAUUUUUAAAACUCACCAGUAUUGCAAAAGACACUGCAAGUUUGCAAGAAGGAUAUUUAGCAUCAGAGAAUGAUUUAGUUGGGAAGCAACCUCUGGAGGCAGGGCUAGCAUUAGGUGAGAUUUUGUGUUCAUUCAUGAAGUUCCCAAAACAAGACAAACAAGAUCUGCAGAUUUUAUUUUUUUUUUUUAAUUCUACCUGUAGGUUAUCUGUCACUGCUUCAACUACAGCAUAAACCUACCCUGACCCAGAGAUACCUCAUUUAUCCUUGUAGUCUCGAUUUACACUAGCUGCACACAAAACAGAGACGGUUUCAGAGAUUAGUUCCUCUACUGACCUUAUUUCAGUGCCUUCAAACAUCUCUAUUCUUCCGGCUCUCAUGAAGACCUGUUCCUCAAAGAAACAUUCUAAACCCCCAUGAAGUUCCUAUUACUUCCACCAUGGACCAGAACCACUUUGCCUUCAAGGCAAAUGCUGGAUAAAGCAGCCCUUAUUCUAAACAUCUUAUAUGUGGACUUUUAGCAUAAUGUUCUCCCAGUACUAGCUUUGGUAGCAGAAAGAGUUGUUCCCACCCACAUUUUCUGAUCUCAUAUUUGGUUUAUAUUUAUUCUGCGUACUGCAUUUCAUUUCAGAUACAAACUUGCCUGUCUCAGGACCUACAAAACAACUGAAAAUGGAUAAACAGCUUGGCCUUCUCUGGCCUUCCAGUAGUCCUUCCGUUACCCACAAGGAUUGUCUUUAUGUGAGGUACUAUAAUGCCAGUGUGUAUAAAUCACUACAGGAUAAACUAUGACUCUUUGGCAUCCUGAGCCUAAAGACCAGGUUUAAACUUCAGUCACCCACAUGCCUGAAAUCAGUGUGGGCCUUUGCAAGUGCCUGCAAUGCAAGCUUUGUCUUCUCUUUGAGAUGAAAAAAACCUUUGUAGUGAAAAAACAAGUGGAAGCUAGGUCAUGUUGUUGUUCUGGGAAAAGGGAGAAUUUGAAAACACAAAUACCUUCUGCAAGUUAAGAAUGAUUCCAUUGAUCUAUAAAAUUAUCUUAGUGCUGAUUUGUCUUACUGUGAGCUAUUUGUGUGUGUGUGGACAUGAUACCUUGGCAUAAUAUUUACUGAGUCCAAGCACAUUUUUAUCAUAUGCUUAGCUGCUGAAGUGAUGUAACUGCUGGAUGUACGAAGUCAUUAACAGGUUAAUGGUGGUAGUGGCCAAAAAAAGGGCUCACAAAUUGCCUCCUUCCCAAAACCUUCUCGAUUGUGGAGACGUCUCAGUACUGCAAGGAGAAAGUUAAGCUUGUAUCCAGUGAGGCAAGAGAUAUAUGUCCAGCUCCAGGGCAAAAAUGUGCAUGUUCAUCCCAUAUCACGUGGGGCUGGGAGGGAAUGGUGCCAGACCCUUGAGUCAUUCUGCAGUACAACAGGCAGAUUAUUUAAUGCAAAAAAAUGUAAACCACGAUAAAUGCGAGCAGAUUUUAGCUAUGAUACUCCAUGUAGCUUUCAAUGCAUGAAUUAAUUCUUUGAUGGAAGUAUGAGCUAUUUUCAUUGUUGACAGAUAAAUUUCUGUUCCUGUGGAUGGUUUUAUAAAAAUUGAUGAUGUAAAUAAAAAAUACUAACUUAA
This is a long non-coding RNA of Pezoporus occidentalis (night parrot), 3787 nucleotides long. RefSeq lists it as uncharacterized. The transcript has 4 exons. Lineage: Eukaryota; Metazoa; Chordata; Aves; Psittaciformes; Psittacidae. The record is from RefSeq and is a predicted model, not a curated record.